RNAcentral lists this ribosomal RNA (751 nucleotides) under uncultured Comamonadaceae bacterium. Its description in RNAcentral is "bacterial SSU rRNA". It matches the Rfam family "Bacterial small subunit ribosomal RNA", at positions 29 to 776 of the family's 1533-position model. Lineage: Bacteria; Pseudomonadati; Pseudomonadota; Betaproteobacteria; Burkholderiales; Comamonadaceae. The record is from RNAcentral.
AUGAACGCGGCGGCAUGCCUUACACAUCCAAGUCGAACGGCAGCACGGGAGCAAUCCUGGUGUCGAGUGGCGAACGGGUGAGUAAUACAUCGGAACGUGCCCAAUCGUGGGGGAUAACGCAGCGAAAGCUGUGCUAAUACCGCAUACGAUCUACGGAUGAAAGCAGGGGAUCGCAAGACCUUGCGCGAAUGGAGCGGCCGAUGGCAGAUUAGGUAGUUGGUGAGGUAAAGGCUCACCAAGCCGUCGAUCUGUAGCUGGUCUGAGAGGACGACCAGCCACACUGGGACUGAGACACGGCCCAGACUCCUACGGGAGGCAGCAGUGGGGAAUUUUGGACAAUGGGCGAAAGCCUGAUCCAGCCAUGCCGCGUGCAGGAUGAAGGCCUUCGGGUUGUAAACUGCUUUUGUACGGAACGAAACGGCCUUUUCUAAUAAAGAGGGCUAAUGACGGUACCGUAAGAAUAAGCACCGGCUAACUACGUGCCAGCAGCCGCGGUAAUACGUAGGGUGCAAGCGUUAAUCGGAAUUACUGGGCGUAAAGCGUGCGCAGGCGGUUAUGUAAGACAGUUGUGAAAUCCCCGGGCUCAACCUGGGAACUGCAUCUGUGACUGCAUAGCUAGAGUACGGUAGAGGGGGAUGGAAUUCCGCGUGUAGCAGUGAAAUGCGUAGAUAUGCGGAGGAACACCGAUGGCGAAGGCAAUCCCCUGGACCUGUACUGACGCUCAUGCACGAAAGCGUGGGGAGCAAACAGG